CACGUCAGCGCGCUUUGCUGACGUGGCAACAAAUCGCGUCCACGAGGGGGCAAUUUGUUGCCACGUCAGCAAAGCGCGCUUACGUGG
Molecule: non-coding RNA, 87 nt
Organism: Gossypium hirsutum (cotton)
Lineage: Eukaryota; Viridiplantae; Streptophyta; Magnoliopsida; Malvales; Malvaceae
Source: Rfam